This is an RNA transcript of Glycine soja, 859 nucleotides long. RefSeq lists it as uncharacterized. The record is from RefSeq and is a predicted model, not a curated record. The transcript is spliced from 7 exons. Lineage: Eukaryota; Viridiplantae; Streptophyta; Magnoliopsida; Fabales; Fabaceae.
CCGUCACGACUCACGAGGAGACUCCAUGAUCGAUGUUCCCUCGACAUCCUUCAACAAAGUUUCCGACAUCUAUUCGAGCGGAGAGGAGGUCUUGGGGGAUGGUGAGGGAGCAUUUGGUCUUCCAACAGAAAUCCCUAACGAAAGGGAAGAGAAUUUGGUGCAGACGCAGGCUAAGGGAAGAGAAUUUGGUGCAGACGCAGGUUCCUAGAAUACUUGAAUGUGAAGAACAGAACAAGGGGCUGCUUCCAAGAGUUGUAGAAGGACUUUUUGAUUCCAUAAAUUCUUUGGAUAUAGAAAAGACAUAUUCAGUUAAAUUGUCAAUGGUUGAAAUCUACAUGGAAAAAGUAAGGUAUGCAUAGAAAAAACCAGUAUGUUUGCCCCUAUAUAGGGAUCUAUUUGAUUUAUCAAAAGAUAAUAUACAAAUUAAGGAGAUUAAAUCACGAGGAAUAAUUCUACCUGGCGUUACAGAGACUUCCAUCUUCAUUCAUUCUUGCCACUUUUUUCAAAAAUAAUUGGCAAAUAUGAAAAAGAUCUUAGAAAUUGAUCCCUUAAAUGAUCAAGCUAGGAAAGUCAUUCAGCCACUAGAGCCCCUUGCUGCAGAAAAAUGAGAAAAGAUGAUGGAGGAAAUGAUUGGCAAUGCAUGCUGCUCCAAUGUACAUUGCAGAGACAGCUCCAACACCAAUACGUGGACAACUAAAAUCUCUAAAAGAGUUCUUUAUAGUACUUGGGAUGGUUGUAAGUUCCUGAACUUUCUUCGGCUCUUGAACUUUAUGGGAUUCCUUUAAGUAUUUUUAGCUUUUAUUGUUUUUUUUUUUUCCGCUGAUUAUGUUAUGCUUAUUUACUAGUAUUUACCAUAACU